Non-coding RNA from Fukomys damarensis (Damara mole-rat), 399 nucleotides. NCBI's taxonomy places the organism in Eukaryota, Metazoa, Chordata, Mammalia, Rodentia, Bathyergidae. The record is from the annotation of a RefSeq genome assembly.
AUGGAGAUGCUCCUUGAAGUUUUACUAAUGAUACUAUGGAUGCAACUAUCAUCGGUGAGUGGUCAACAGCUGAAUCAGAGUCCUCAGUCUAUAACUGUCCAGGAAGGAGAGGAUCUCACCAUAAACUGCAGCUCUUCAAGCACAUUUAAUAACUUCAAAUGGUACAAACAGGACCCUGGAGAAGGUCUCAUCCUCCUGACAACUUUAUAUCAGAGUGGUGAAUUGAUAAGAAGUGGGAGAUUGACUGCUCAGUUAGGUGGAACAAGGAAGGACAGUUUCCUGAGCAUCCAAGCCUCCAAGCCUGACGAUACAGCAACUUACUUCUGUGCUGGGGAGCACAGUGCUCCCCAAGCACCUUCAGCCUGUACUCAAACUUGCAGGUUUUGGCAUGCAGUUUGA